AAACUUUCGCCAACGGGAUCUCUUGGUUCCGGCAUCGAUGAAGANCGCAGNGAAAUGCGAUUACUAAUGUGAAUUGCAGAAUUCACUGAAUCCUCCAGUCUUUGAUCGCUCAUUGCGCCCCCUGGUUUUCCGGGGGGCAUGCCUGUCCGAACGUCAUU
Molecule: ribosomal RNA, 158 nt
Filed under: Aspergillus clavatonanicus
Lineage: Eukaryota; Fungi; Ascomycota; Eurotiomycetes; Eurotiales; Aspergillaceae
Description: 5.8S ribosomal RNA
Rfam family: 5.8S ribosomal RNA
About the family: 5.8S ribosomal RNA (5.8S rRNA) is a component of the large subunit of the eukaryotic ribosome. It is transcribed by RNA polymerase I as part of the 45S precursor that also contains 18S and 28S rRNA.
Source: RNAcentral